Molecule: unclassified non-coding RNA, 269 nt
Organism: Bison bison bison
Lineage: Eukaryota; Metazoa; Chordata; Mammalia; Artiodactyla; Bovidae
Gene: 7SK
Rfam family: 7SK RNA
About the family: 7SK was discovered as an abundant small nuclear RNA in the mid-70s but a possible function has only recently been suggested. Two independent studies have found that 7SK RNA binds the CDK9/cyclin T complex (known as elongation factor P-TEFb).
Source: Ensembl
GGUGAGGGCAAUCUAGUCAACAUCUGUCACUCCAUUGCUUAUUAGGAUUAUUUUAGCUGAUGUGUCUGACUGGGCAGGUGUCCCCUCUCUCCCUCAGUGCUCCAUGUGCAUCCCUCUUGAAGCUUCACACUCUGUUGAAGAGGACUCUCAUCCCAGGUAGAGAGGGGGACGGGAAACUGGGCCAAUUGAAUGUGUGUCUUUUUCUUUCCAUCAGAUCAAGGCUGCUUAACUGAAAUCCAUUUGCUUCCUGAGGUCCAUGGCCUCUGAAA